RNAcentral lists this ribosomal RNA (1190 nucleotides) under metagenome. RNAcentral describes it as "bacterial SSU rRNA". It matches the Rfam family "Bacterial small subunit ribosomal RNA", at positions 318 to 1520 of the family's 1533-position model. The record is from RNAcentral.
ACUGAGACACGGCCCUUACUCCUACGGGAGGCAGCAGUGGGGAAUAUUGGACAAUGGACCAAAAGUCUGAUCCAGCAAUUCUGUGUGCACGAUGAAGGUCUUCGGAUCGUAAAGUGCUUUCAGUAGGGAAGAAAAAAUGACGGUACCUACAGAAGAAGCGACGGCUAAAUACGUGCCAGCAGCCGCGGUAAUACGUAUGUCGCAAGCGUUAUCCGGAAUUAUUGGGCGUAAAGCGCGUCUAGGCGGUCUUUUAAGUCUGAUGUGAAAAUGCGGGGCUCAACUCCGUAUUGCGUUGGAAACUGGAAGACUAGAGUAUCAGAGAGGUGGGCGGAACUACAAGUGUAGAGGUGAAAUUCGUAGAUAUUUGUAGGAAUGCCGAUUGGGAAGCCAGCUCACUGGAUGAAUACUGACGCUGAAGCGCGAAAGCGUGGGGAGCAAACGGGAUUAGAUACCCCGGUAGUCCACGCCGUAAACGAUGAUCACUAAGUGUGGGGGGUCGAACCUCCGUGCUCAAGCUAACGCGAUAAGUGAUCCGCCUGGGGAGUACGCACGCAGGUGUGAGACUCAAAGGAAUUGACGGGGACCCGCACAAGCGGUGGAGCAUGUGGUUUAAUUCGACGCAACGCGAGGAACCUUACCAGCCCUUGACAUCCUCAGAAUCCAGAAGAGAUUUUGGAGUGCCACUUCGGUGGAACUGAGUGACAGGUGGUGCAUGGCUGUCGUCAGCUCGUGUCGUGAGAUGUUGGGUUAAGUCCCGCAACGAGCGCAACCCCUUUCGUAUGUUACCAUCAUUAAGUUGGGGACUCAUGCGAUACUGCCAGUGACAAACUGGAGGAAGGUGGGGAUGACGUCAAGUCAUCAUGCCCCUUAUGGGCUGGGCUACACACGUGCUACAAUGGGCGAUACAGAGAGUUGCAAUACCGCGAGGUGGAGCUAAUCUCAGAAAGUCGUUCUUAGUUCGGAUCGCAGUCUGCAACUCGACUGCGUGAAGUUGGAAUCGCUAGUAAUCGCGAAUCAGCAAUGUCGCGGUGAAUACGUUCUCGGGUCUUGUACACACCGCCCGUCACACCACGAGAGUUGGUUGCACCUGAAGUAGCAGGCCUAACCCCUUUGGGGAGGGAUGUUCCUAAGGUGUGAUUGGCGAUUGGGGUGAAGUCGUAACAAGGUAUCCGUACGGGAUCGUGCGGAUG